CCUACGGGAGGCAGCAGUAGGGAAUCUUCCACAAUGGGCGAAAGCCUGAUGGAGCAACGCCGCGUGGGUGAAGAAGGUCUUCGGAUCGUAAAACCCUGUUGUUAGAGAAGAAAGUGCGUGAGAGUAACUGUUCACGUUUCGACGGUAUCUAACCAGAAAGCCACGGCUAACUACGUGCCAGCAGCCGAGGUAAUACGUCGGUGGCAAGCGUUAUCCGGAUUUGUUGGGCGUAAAGGGAACGCAGGCGGUCUUUUAAGGCUGAUGUGAAAGCCUUCGGCUUAACCGGAGUAGUGCAUUGGAAACUGGGAGACUUGAGUGCAGAAGAGGAGAGUGGAACUCCAGGUGUAGCGGUGAAAUGCGUAGAUAUAUGGAAGAACACCAGUGGCGAAGGCGGCUCUCGGGUCUGUAACUGACGCUGAGGUUCGAAAGCGUGGGUAGCAAACAGGAUUAGAUACCCCGGUAGUC
RNAcentral lists this ribosomal RNA (465 nucleotides) under uncultured bacterium. RNAcentral describes it as "partial 16S ribosomal RNA". It matches the Rfam family "Bacterial small subunit ribosomal RNA", at positions 338 to 795 of the family's 1533-position model. The record is from RNAcentral.